UCACCCCUCAAGCCUCGUGCUUGGUGUUGGACGGCCGGUCGAGCGAUCGACCCCUCCUAAAGACAAUGACGGCGGCCUGCGGUUCCCCCGGUACACUGAGCUUUUCACGAGAGUACGUAUCGGACAAGGGCACCCGGGACCCGGUCCUCUCCUUUCACAAGGAAACUUCUAU
Molecule: unclassified non-coding RNA, 172 nt
Filed under: uncultured Chaetothyriales
Lineage: Eukaryota; Fungi; Ascomycota; Eurotiomycetes; Chaetothyriales
Description: sequence contains ITS2
Source: RNAcentral